This 187-nucleotide ribosomal RNA is filed under the name uncultured bacterium. Its description in RNAcentral is "partial 16S ribosomal RNA". It matches the Rfam family "Bacterial small subunit ribosomal RNA", at positions 589 to 775 of the family's 1533-position model. The record is from RNAcentral.
CUGAUGUGAAAGCCCACGGCUCAACCGUGGAACUGCCAUUGAUACUGCAGGGCUUGAGUUCGGUUAAGGCGGGCGGAACUGGUGGUGUAGCGGUGAAAUGCAUAGAUACCACCAAGAACCCCGAUUGCGUAGGCAGCUCGCUGAGCCGAAACUGACGCUGAGGCACGAAAGCGUGGGGAGCGAACAG